Molecule: ribosomal RNA, 209 nt
Filed under: uncultured bacterium
Lineage: Bacteria
Description: partial 16S ribosomal RNA
Rfam family: Bacterial small subunit ribosomal RNA
Source: RNAcentral
CAUGCAGGCGGUCGGACGCGUUUUGUGUGACAGCGGGUGGCUUAACUACCCGAGCAUGCGAAAGACGGUCGGACUUGAGGGCUCGAGAGGGACACGGAAUUCCGGGUGGAGUGGUGAAAUGCGUAGAGAUCCGGAGGAACACCGAAGGCGAAGGCAGUGUCCUGGCGAGUAUACCUGACGCUGAGGUGCGAAAGCCAGGGGAGCGAACG